GUAAGUGAGCUCUAAGCGAGUGAAGGAAGUGUGCUACAAGAGAGUGAAGGAAGGAAGCCGAGUGAAGGGAGUUCAUGGAAUCCCCUGAGUCUGAGGCGUCUCUAGUCCAUGGGUCAUAUGCCUCCACUCCAGUCAACGAGUUUGAUGACCUGCCCUUGAAUUUCAAGAACGGACUUAAUGAGAGUUCACCAAGUGCUAUUGUACGCAUUUAAACAUCCAUACAUCGAGUUUUUCAGCUUCCAUAUCUUGACACAGAUGCAGUGCGCUAGAAAGCGAGUUUCCCUCUCCCAGCGAGAGAAGUGC
Molecule: long non-coding RNA, 303 nt
Filed under: Amborella trichopoda
Lineage: Eukaryota; Viridiplantae; Streptophyta; Magnoliopsida; Amborellales; Amborellaceae
Description: long non-coding RNA (ATRI_LNC002614)
Source: RNAcentral